GGGGGUGCAUGGAUUCGACUUCGACCGAUCGAUUCGGAAGAAGCGGGCCGAGGUCUCCGGAGUCCUCGUUAAAGAACCGGAACCUAAACACAAGCGCCGACAACGUCGCGCUCGCUGCCUAAUUAGGUAGCCGUCAGCCGGGAGAAGCCUGCGAUCCCGGGUCUGGCGUCGCUAGCAGGCUCACUCUCCGGGAGCGUCCGGGUACCGGGGAGAACACCUACCGGGCUGGGAGAUGUCGAGCGCGCCGGUGCGCGCGGCAGAUCCGAGAUCCAAAUCGCCGGCUGCGCCCGGAGAUGCUUCCGAGCCGAGAUCGAAGCACGGGGGUUCGAUUCCCCCCACCUCCACAA
This 347-nucleotide transfer-messenger RNA is filed under the name Actinomycetota (actinobacteria). RNAcentral describes it as "AC-67 sp005883175 Standard tmRNA". It matches the Rfam family "transfer-messenger RNA". Rfam says of the family: Bacterial tmRNA, also known as 10Sa RNA or SsrA, is named for its dual tRNA and mRNA-like properties. Its role is to liberate the mRNA from a stalled ribosome. RNAcentral also lists the same sequence under 1 other name. The record is from RNAcentral. Lineage: Bacteria; Bacillati.